Molecule: transfer RNA, 85 nt
Filed under: Felis catus (domestic cat)
Lineage: Eukaryota; Metazoa; Chordata; Mammalia; Carnivora; Felidae
Rfam family: tRNA
About the family: Transfer RNA (tRNA) molecules are approximately 80 nucleotides in length. Their secondary structure includes four short double-helical elements and three loops (D, anti-codon, and T loops).
Source: Rfam by way of RNAcentral
GCCUGGGUGGCUCAGUCGGUUGAGCGUCCGACUUCGGCUCAGGUCAUGAUCUCAUGGUUCGUGGGUUCGAGCCCCGCAUCAGGCU